This 433-nucleotide ribosomal RNA is filed under the name uncultured bacterium. Its description in RNAcentral is "partial 16S ribosomal RNA". It matches the Rfam family "Bacterial small subunit ribosomal RNA", at positions 29 to 507 of the family's 1533-position model. The record is from RNAcentral.
AACGAACGCUGGCGGCAUGCCUAACACAUGCAAGUCGAACGAGACCUUCGGGUCUAGUGGCGCACGGGUGCGUAACGCGUGGGAACCUGCCGUUAGGUUCGGAAUAACUCCCCGACAGGGGUGCUAAUACAGGAUAAUGUCCUCGGACCAAAGAUUUAUCGCCUUUGGAUGGGCCCGCGUUGGAUUAGCUAGUUGGUAGGGUAAAAGCCUACCAAGGCGACGAUCCAUAGCUGGUCUGAGAGGAUGAUCAGCCACACUGGGACUGAGACACGGCCCAGACUCCUACGGGAGGCAGCAGUGGGGAAUAUUGGACAAUGGGCGAAAGCCUGAUCCAGCAAUGCCGCGUGAGUGAUGAAGGCCUUAGGGUUGUAAAGCUCUUUUACCCGGGAUGAUAAUGACAGUACCGGGAGAAUAAGCUCCGGCUAACUCCGUG